UUGGACAAUGGGCGCAAGCCUGAUCCAGCAAUGCCGCGUGCAGGAAGAAGGCUUUCGGGUUGUAAACUUCUUUUGUUCGGAACGAAAAGGUUCUGGCUAAUCCCGGGGGCUCAUGACGGUACCGUAAGAAUAAGCCCCGGCUAACUACGUGCCAGCAGCCGCGGUAAUACGUAGGGUGCGAGCGUUAUUCGGAAUUACUGGGCGUAAAGCGGGGGCAGGCGGUUCUGUAAGACAGGCGUGAAAUCCCCGGGCUCAACUUGGGAAUGGCCAUUGAAAUGCCGCCCUGGAGUGCGGCAGAGGGGGAUGGAUUCCGGGUGUAGCGGGAAAUGCGUAGAUAUCGGAGGUUUACUCAUGCGGGAGGCAGCCCCCUGGACCUUCAACUGACGCUCAGCAGGGUUCGCCCC
RNAcentral lists this ribosomal RNA (404 nucleotides) under uncultured Hydrogenophaga sp. Its description in RNAcentral is "partial 16S ribosomal RNA". It matches the Rfam family "Bacterial small subunit ribosomal RNA", at positions 364 to 754 of the family's 1533-position model. The record is from RNAcentral. Lineage: Bacteria; Pseudomonadati; Pseudomonadota; Betaproteobacteria; Burkholderiales; Comamonadaceae.